Molecule: long non-coding RNA, 192 nt
Organism: Dermacentor silvarum
Lineage: Eukaryota; Metazoa; Arthropoda; Arachnida; Ixodida; Ixodidae
Exons: 3
Source: RefSeq, a predicted model, not a curated record
AGUUUUCAUUUAGCCACCGGGAGGUAUUGUGGCGGUGAGUGUACCCUACACAGAAAUCGAACUGCGACAGGAUGUAUACCGGAUUGCAAGUGCGUGGCUAAAAAUUUCAGGAGCACUAUCAACAUUGGAAGCGGUAUAUGUGUGAAAAAGCGAGGCUAUCAAUUCGGCAGUGGAGCCCAAUGUGGCGGGGAG